GAUGAACGCUGGCGGCGUGCCUAAUACAUGCACGUCGAGCGAACGGACGAGAAGCUUGCUUCUCUGAUGUUAGCGGCGGACGGGUGAGUAACACGUGGAUAACCUACCUAUAAGACUGGGAUAACUUCGGGAAACCGGAGCUAAUACCGGAUGAUAUUUUGAACCGCAUGGUUCAAAAGUGAAAGACGGUCUUGCUGUCACUUAUAGAUGGAUCCGCGCUGCAUUAGCUAGUUGGUAAGGUAACGGCUUACCAAGGCAACGAUGCAUAGCCGACCUGAGAGGGUGAUCGGCCACACUGGAACUGAGACACGGUCCAGACUCCUACGGGAGGCAGCAGUAGGGAAUCUUCCGCAAAGGGCGAAAGCCUGACGGAGCAACGCCGCGUGAGUGAUGAAGGUCUUCGGAUCGUAAAACUCUGUUAUUAGGGAAGAACAUAUGUGCAAGUAACUGUGCACAUCUUGACGGUACCUAAUCAGAAAGCCACGGCUAACUACGUG
RNAcentral lists this ribosomal RNA (497 nucleotides) under uncultured bacterium. Its description in RNAcentral is "partial 16S ribosomal RNA". It matches the Rfam family "Bacterial small subunit ribosomal RNA", at positions 28 to 507 of the family's 1533-position model. The record is from RNAcentral.